GACGAACGCUGGCGGCGUGCCUAAUACAUGCAAGUAGAACGCUGAAGGAGGAGCUUGCUCUUCUGGAUGAGUUGCGAACGGGUGAGUAACGCGUAGGUAACCUGCCUGGUAGCGGGGGAUAGCUAUUGGAAACGAUAGCUAAUACCGCAUAACAGUAGAUGUUGCAUGACAUUUACUUAAAAGGUGCAAUUGCAUCACUACCAGAUGGACCUGCGUUGUAUUAGCUAGUUGGUGGGGUAACGGCUCACCAAGGCGACGAUACAUAGCCGACCUGAGAGGGUGAUCGGCCACACUGGGACUGAGACACGGCCCAGACUCCUACGGGAGGCAGCAGUAGGGAAUCUUCGGCAAUGGACGGAAGUCUGACCGAGCAACGCCGCGUGAGUGAAGAAGGUUUUCGGAUCGUAAAGCUCUGUUGUAAGAGAAGAACGAGUGUGAGAGUGGAAAGUUCACACUGUGACGGUAUCUUACCAGAAAGGGACGGCUAACUACGU
RNAcentral lists this ribosomal RNA (494 nucleotides) under uncultured bacterium. RNAcentral's name for it is "partial 16S ribosomal RNA". It matches the Rfam family "Bacterial small subunit ribosomal RNA", at positions 28 to 506 of the family's 1533-position model. The record is from RNAcentral.